GAGUUUAAUCUUGCCUUAUUUUAUCUAUCUAAAAACUAAGCCAGCUGCACAUUGCCAGCUGAAAGAGAUGUAUGUGUCCAGAGGGCUAUUUAUUCCAUCUGCCUUGGACACGUAUCUUGAAUUGGAAUGAGCUGACCUAUGGAGGUCCAUUGACUACUGAAGGAUCCUAUUUUAGGACUUCUAAAAUUAGGUCCUGACUAUAAAUUGAAAGAGUCCUUUUUCAGAAGCAUAGCUGAAUUCAAUUUAAUCAAGAAUAUUAUUUCAAAUACCUGCAAUUAAUGUGAAAGAAUACAGGAGAAGAACAGUGUUCAAUUAAGCCUGGACUAAAGUAAUCAUUUUUAAUGGAGCAGUAUCAUCAGGAACACUAGGUAAAACUGAGCUUUAUUAUUCUCAUUUUUUAAAAACUCUUCUGAGAAAGAUGGAGUUGCCGACAGCUAUGAGCCCUAAGGCACAACUGGCUGAGAAUUGAUGUAAAGUAAAAAAACAGACAGACAAAACUAAACACCUUGAAUUUUUCAUGCACAUUUUUUUGUGAACUGCAACACCUGAUGCAAGAUAAAUGUCUGUACUUGCAUCUUAUGUGAAAACUGAGCUUGGAUAAAAAUGCUCAGGAUACUGAAUCAUCUUGAAAGUUUUACACUAGUGUGCAAAUGCAGGACUUACUGCAGCCAUUCUGUGUUGACUAUACAGGCAAAUUUAGGGUGGCUCUUCCUAGGGAGAAUAAAUAGUCUUCUACAAUACAGAGCUCUAGAAGAUCUACCUGCAAAAACAUUUAUUUGGGAUUCAGUAUAGCCCACAGAACUGCAUGUUUGGCUUGUCAGUGGUAAAUAAGUUUCCUGAGAAUGUAAGAUGGAGGGUUUUAGUUAGUGACCAAGAGAUCAAUACCAUGAUCCAUGAUGUUAAUGAUAAAGUAUUGCCUAUCUUGAAAACAUACCUAACUUUUGCUGUAAGGGUUCUUGCUUAUUUCACUGAAAACCAGCAAAGGUAUUGAUCACCUUUUAGGACUCAUGAAAAAUGUUGAGGGAUGGAAAUACCUCAGUAACAAAAAGGUUGAGGAAUAGAAAUUGGGGUAAGGCUAUUCCAUACGGAUGAAUGAUGUGUGAUAGAAAUAUUGAUAACUGAGUAAUGACUUGACAAUUUUCUUUUAUGGCUCUUGCCUGGAGUACCCAUUCUAGAGCAGGUAAAAAUGUAUGAAGGGCCUUUACAGAAGCAGUACACCAGUUCAAUAUUCAAUAUAAAGUCUCAUAGGAAUGUGGCAGGUGACAUAAUAUUUCAGAGUUGUUAGGUACAAUCCUGACACCUAAUAGUAAGCUGAUUCAUUAGGGCAUGUCUUCUAACCAAUGUGUGCUCUUUUGAGAUGAUAAGGUAGGAUAUGACUUACUCAGCUUGUAGGGGUAUUGUCUGUUCUGCCUUGAAUUUGCUGGAAGGAUAUUAAAUGUGUCAAAGCUGAUGUGGCUCAGAUUUUGGUGAGGCACCUGGAAUGGAAGGUGGCUGGAGAAGGGUCCAUGGUACAUGUCAGCAUUAGGGCUUCCCAAGACACCCACUGUGGACACAAAUGUAAAUUCAAGCAUUGCUACUAAAUAAAGCUGGGAAAAUGUACCAGGCAAACAUGGAUAUUCAGGGAGAGACCUGACCUGUCACAUGUGAAACUCCUUAACUUAAUUGUAAUCACAUUGGAGAAAGGGAUCAGUCAAUAUCUAGAGGCACUCUCAGAUGGCAGUGCAGUACAAAAUAGUAUGAACCAAGGACAUAGAACAACCAGCAUUCCCCAUAUGCUCCACAUCUCUUCCAAAAGCUGCUGUUGGUUAACAGAGCUGUUAUCUGCUGCUUCAACUGGAUGUAUGUCCUGCCUGUAGAUUUUCAUAACAUAACUUGAGUGUGUCUCUUGCACAAGAUGAGCUACCUACCUUGAAGAUGUGUGGGAUUUCAUGGCAUGGAUUAAUUGGACUCCAUAACUUCAGCCACUUUUGAGAUGACCCUGGUUUGUGCCUGCAGCAUUCCUCUGGACUUCCUGAAUUUCCAAAGCCUUCUCUGUAAAGGCUUUGAGGAUUCCUAGCCUUCAACAUCAGAGGAUGGUGACUAUACUAUACAUAGUGACCGAGCACUAAAAUCAUCCCACAACAAAGGAAAAAACCUUGUUCUCAUUCAGCCAAUAGAUUUGCCUCAGUCAUUGGAAUACACAUGAAGUUCAGCACCUGAUGAGACAGCCCACUGUGGUCCUAGGAUAUGGACCUGGAAAAUCCAGUGGUCUUCUGAAAUGAUGUGGUUGGAUGACAAUAUCUUCAUCACUGCUUUCCAUGAAUCUCCAAAUGCUGGGACUGUUUAAUUGUUAUGCCUCACACAUCAAACCAUAGAUGUGGCUGUGGUACAAUGGGACAAAUCUGGAGCUGGGGCAGAGGAUUAUUCCCUUUUGGUUUCUGUUAUGCUGAGCACAUCUGAGCAUGGACCAUGGCAUUUAAGGAGGAUCCAGGUGGAUGCCUCUAGGAGCAGGUGAAGAGGCUGGGUCUCUAGGUUAGGCACUCUGUCACUGAAAAUUCCCUUCCCUCCUCCUCUCACUUGCAAGAUAAGCAAUGCAGGUCAGCGAAGAGCAGUCUGUUGGCAUGCUGUGCACUUGAGGCGGUAGAAAACCUAGAAGCUGCUUCAUAGAAAAGGGUCCCCUCGCAACAGAGAGAUAGAUCAAGUACCUGCUUCCCUCUCGUUCUGUUUCUCAUUUUCUGAUACCCUUUUUUUUUUUUAACUUUGUAUUGUGUAAUGGCCUG
This is a long non-coding RNA of Aquila chrysaetos chrysaetos, 2759 nucleotides long. RefSeq lists it as uncharacterized. The transcript has 3 exons. The record is from RefSeq and is a predicted model, not a curated record. NCBI's taxonomy places the organism in Eukaryota, Metazoa, Chordata, Aves, Accipitriformes, Accipitridae.